Molecule: ribosomal RNA, 436 nt
Filed under: uncultured bacterium
Lineage: Bacteria
Description: bacterial SSU rRNA
Rfam family: Bacterial small subunit ribosomal RNA
Source: RNAcentral
UAGGGAAUUUUCGUCAAUGGGGGGAACCCUGAACGAGCAAUGCCGCGUGUGAAGAAGGUCUUCGGGUCGUAAAGCACUGUUGUAAGUGAAGAAUGCCAUAUAGAGGAAAUGCUAUGUGGGUGACGGUAGCUUACCAGAAAGCCACGGCUAACUACGUGCCAGCAGCCGCGGUAAUACGUAGGUGGCAAGCGUUAUCCGGAAUCAUUGGGCGUAAAGGGUGCGUAGGUGGCACGAUAAGUCUGAAGUAAAAGGCAACAGCUCAACUGUUGUAUGCUUUGGAAACUGUCGAGCUAGAGUGCAGAAGAGGGCGAUGGAAUUCCAUGUGUAGCGGUAAAAUGCGUAGAUAUAUGGAGGAACACCAGUGGCGAAGGCGGUCGCCUGGUCUGUAACUGACACUGAUGCACGAAAGCGUGGGGAGCAAAUAGGAUUAGAUACC